This 171-nucleotide ribosomal RNA is filed under the name uncultured bacterium. Its description in RNAcentral is "partial 16S ribosomal RNA". It matches the Rfam family "Bacterial small subunit ribosomal RNA", at positions 358 to 525 of the family's 1533-position model. The record is from RNAcentral.
UGAUUAGGGAUCGAGGCGAAAGCCUGAUCCGCCCUGCCGCGUGUGUGAAAAGGUCUUCGGGUUGUAAAGCACUUUAAGUUGGGAGGAAGGGCAGUAAGCUAAUACCUUGCUGUUUUGACGUUACCGACAGAAUAAGCACCGGCUAACUCUGUGCCAGCAGCCGCGGUAAUA